Molecule: long non-coding RNA, 2983 nt
Filed under: Phaseolus vulgaris (common bean)
Lineage: Eukaryota; Viridiplantae; Streptophyta; Magnoliopsida; Fabales; Fabaceae
Description: long non-coding RNA (PVUL_LNC004240)
Source: RNAcentral
AUCACGCGUCUAAAAUUGGAAAUCUCAACCCUUCAUCCCAUCAAAACAACCCUAUAUAUAAUAGUGGGUAUGUUUUCCCUAAUUUCAAUUCAAUUUCACCCCUUUCAAUCUACCACGUAUCAAGAAUUAGGUUUUCAAAGAAGAAGGACGCGAUCUUAUUGAGGACCUAGUAUCAGGCUAUGGUGAGAUCGAGCAAAGAAGAGCCUACUACAGUAAGAUUCAAAGAAGGCCAUGACGAGACUAUCGAGCAACUUCUGGUUCGUAGCACUGGAACCAGGUAUCCCAACCCCAGACCUGAUCGGGUAUGGUAAUCUACAAUUGAAAGCGCUACUUCCGUAGUCUAUGGUCCCGCUAAGGCAUUCAUGGCCCUAACUCUGCUCUGGACAGUUUCUUGUUCUCUCUAUUUAAGAUCUACUCGCCAAUCGUGCUUUUCCUACGAAUUGGUGCGAUUACUUUGCGAUUCGACUUUUUUCUUGCUUACGUCCUUUCACUCUUACGUGUUCGUGUUUUAUUUUUUUUCCAGGAUUUGAAGCCCGGUGUCACCGUUCAGAGGUGUCAUGAUCGUGUUCUUGUUGAUUGUUUUGUGAAGGCUCGGUGAAUAUAGCGCGGAUCGCGAGAACAAGAUUAGGCCGGUGCAGCGGUUCAUUCUUGCCGUUCCUUUGUGGUGUUCUUGGCAUUCGGAUUUCAAGAAUGAUACUAGGGUUUUUGAGGGGAAAUCUUCGGUGUAAAUGGUAGAAUGAAUAUUUGGGGAUGAAGUGGUUGUCGAGAACUUUGUCUACCGACCUUUGCCAUGACAGGUGCGCUUGCAUGGCAGGUCAAAAAAAUUAAUAAAAAAAAGAUUAUUUGUGGGUUUUGAGGGAGAACGUACGGGAAUUCCCGGGUUCUCCCUCUGGUGUGGGGUGUGGUGCCGUGUUUGAUGUGUUCCUUUUCCUUCCUUCGCCCUUUCUUUUAUAUCUUUCUUUUCCUCGCUCUCACUCCUUGCCAUGGAUACACCACCACUGGACUCGCUUCGCCUUCCAUCUAACGACAUUCAUCUAACGAGGUAUCGUAUAAAUCUAAUUUUUCAUUUACAAUAACGCCUUUCCUUUUUCGCAACAUAGUCAAUAUACAAAUAACAACGACAAAAUGAAUACAAUUGCAAACAUUAAUUAAUUGAAUUAAGGAAUUCGUAUAUGAGAAAUGAAUCACAUGUAGUUUAUCUUUCCACAUGGUGAAUUAGUAAUUGAAGUGAUAUUAUCAUGUAAAUUCUAAUAUAACAGCUUGGAUGAUAGAUUCGUAACAGCAACAUUGAUCCUUCGGUCGACUUCUAUAAUAACUUUAGUCAAGAGACGAUACUUCAAUUGAUUGAGAUUUUUCCCACUGUAAACUUAAAUUCUUCUUCAUCUUUAAAUUUUGCAACGCUAUUACUACGAGUAUCAUUUUCGGUUGAGUUCUUAUAAUUAUUUGUAACCCAAAAUUUUUUGUCCUUGACUUUAGCAUUUCAAUUUCCGACAUGCAUAGAUUUUUCUGUAGAUAUACUCGUUCGUAUGAAGUCUUUGCAGCCUGAAGGGUAUAAACGGCACCGUUAGCAGUGAUCUUCCUCAGCUUGACUGGAAAGAAUUACAAGGUUUCAAGUCUACAAAUUCAAGAAACGUUUCAAAUAUGUACUUAAUCAUUAAUUUUUGGAGGUAGCCUCCUCAAAUUUUAUUUAAUAAAGUGUCAUAUUCACGGUUUUCAGUCUAUGGAAUAAUUCCGUAUUGGCCUUUGGUAUAUUUUGUCAAAUUAUGUUGGUGAUCAAUCAUUUUAUAUAUGUUUUAUGGAUUGAGUGGUUUUACAGCAGUAAAACAAUAGUUAUGUCUAUAAAAAAAUUCUUUAUGAGCAUUGACUUUUGAUUUUAUUGAGUUUUUUUUUGUGUGAUCCAACAAUGAAUUGAAAGAUUUUGGUCAUAAUGAAUGAAGUUUUAUAGAAGAGACAUUGCUAAUAGUAAAAGAACUUGUUAUCAUUUGUAUAAAUUGUAAACCAUAGUGUGAAUGAUAUGAUAAUGACAUGAACCUGAAAUAUGAAAUAGAUAAUCAUAUAUUUCCUUUUGAUUCACUCAAACUAUCUCAACUGUAAUGCAUUUCAAUUCAUUUAAACAAUCAUAUAGUUCCGUUUUGUUGAACCACUUUUAGAGUUUAGUACAAUUUUACUAUAAUUCAAUUCUGUUCAGUCAGUUUGACCACCCCUAGUGUUAACUAGAUGAAUAUACUAGUGUUAACUGACUAACUUCUUUCAAUUUAUUAUCUGUACUGAGAAACUUUUAGGCAUGUUUUAAAUUUGAUAUUACAUUGGUUAUAGUGGGAUAGGUGAUGUUAUGUAUUCCGCUUAUUGUCUUAUGGUCACUUAACACAAUAAGACACUUCAUCUUUGUUUGACACCAUUUUUAGGAGAUGAAAGCCACCAUUUUGGCAAUUGUUUUGCAAUGAUGAAUGGGGAUUUUUUUAUUAACUUUCUUACCAUAUCUUUAUGUUGUAUUUGUUUGUAUAGUUUGUUAAAGUACUGGUUGCAGCCGGAAGGGUGUGAACAGUGUUUCAUGUAUUGCAGUGAUCUUCCUUGGCUUGACUGGAAAGAAUUGCGAGGUUUCAGGUCUACAAAAGACUUUUCAAAUAUAUGUACUUAAGCAUCAAGGUUUCAGGUCUACAAAAUCCUUAUUCAAAGAAAUGUUUCAAAUAUAUGUACUUAAUCAUCAAUAUUUGGUUGUAGCCUCCUCAAAUUUUAUUUAAUAAAGUGCCAUAUUCAAGGUUUUCAGUCUAUGGAAUAAUUAUGUAUUGGCCUUUGGUUUAUUUUGUCAAAUUAUGUUGGUGAUCAAUCACUUUAUAUGUUUUUUGGAUGGAGUGUGAUUGCCGCAGUAAAAAAAAAUACGUAUGUCUAUAAAAAUUCUUUUAUGAGGAUUGACUUUUGAUUUUAUUGAGUUAUUUUGUGUGAUCCAUCCAACAGUGGAUUGAAAGAUUUUGGUCAUUAAUGA